GGGUCAGUAGGUUGGUCGUGCCACCGGUACGUACUGGUCUCACUGAUUCCUCCUUCCUGAAGAACCGUAAUGCCAUUAAUUUGGUGUUGCGGGGAAACAGGACUGUUACUUUGAAAAAAUUAGAGUGUUUAACGCAAGCUGACGCUUGAAUACAUUAGCAUGGAAUAAUGAAAUAGGACGAUCGAUCCUAUUUUGUUGGUUUCUAGGAUUGACGUA
RNAcentral lists this ribosomal RNA (216 nucleotides) under Glomeromycotina sp. RNAcentral describes it as "partial small subunit ribosomal RNA". The stretch from base 40 to 216 matches the Rfam family "Eukaryotic small subunit ribosomal RNA", at positions 686 to 864 of the family's 1831-position model. The record is from RNAcentral. Lineage: Eukaryota; Fungi; Glomeromycota.